This 494-nucleotide ribosomal RNA is filed under the name uncultured bacterium. RNAcentral describes it as "partial 16S ribosomal RNA". It matches the Rfam family "Bacterial small subunit ribosomal RNA", at positions 28 to 507 of the family's 1533-position model. The record is from RNAcentral.
GACGAACGCUGGCGGCGUGCUUAACACAUGCAAGUCGAACGGAAAGGCCUGCUUUCCCUUGUGGAUUGCGGGUACUCGAGUGGCGAACGGGUGAGUAACACGUGAGUGAUCUGCCCCCAACUUGGGUAUAAGCCUGGGAAACUGGGUCUAAUUCCCGGUAGGACUGCAGGGUGGUGCCUGUGGUGGAAAACGAUUUUCUAGUGGUUGGGGAUGAGCUCGCGGCCUAUCAGCUUGUUGGUGGGGUAAUGGCCUACCAAGGCGGCGACGGGUAGCCGGCCUGAGAGGGUGGACGGCCACAUUGGGACUGAGAUACGGCCCAGACUCCUACGGGAGGCAGCAGUGGGGAAUAUUGCACAAUGGGCGGAAGCCUGAGGCAGCGACGCCGCGUGGGGGAUGACGGCCUUCGGGUUGUAAACUCCUUUCGACCGCGAGGAAGCCACCUGGUUGGAAGGGUGGUGACGGUAGUGGUAGAAGAAGCACCGGCUAACUACGUG